Molecule: ribosomal RNA, 265 nt
Filed under: uncultured bacterium
Lineage: Bacteria
Description: partial 16S ribosomal RNA
Rfam family: Bacterial small subunit ribosomal RNA
Source: RNAcentral
CGGCACCCACCCUCGGGUGGAAGCGAGUGGCGAACGGCUGAGUAACACGUGGAGAACCCGCCCCCUCCUCCGGGAUAGCCUCGGGAAACCGUGGGUAAUACCGGAUGACCCCGCAGGGCCGCAUGGCCCCGCGGGCAAAGCCCAGACGGGAGGGGAUGGCUCCGCGGCCCAUCAGGUAGACGGCGGGGUGACGGCCCACCGUGCCGACGACGGGUAGCCGGGUUGAGAGACCGACCGGCCAGAUUGGGACUGAGACACGGCCCAG